CCCAGCGCGAGGGGAAGGGGCGGGGGGCAUUCCCACAUCGGACGCGUCUCUCCCGGCGCUUAGACAAAAAACGGUUUUCGACGAAAACAAAAGCAAGCCGUUCCCCCUUCCCCAGCGACAAGCUUCCUUCGUGCUCGGAGCUGGUUCUGCUGGAGAACAGCCCCGGGAGGGCAUCGGGCCUACCGCUCCUGUGCGCGUGGAGAAGGCCUCCUCACGUGCUCUCCUUCUGCCGUGUUACGUGGGAGGACUCAAAGACCUGGUCGUUUUGUAUAGGAGAAGGCUGAAGAUUCACAUCCAAAGGCCAACAAGUAUGCCCAUCCCUUCCAGGCAGAAAUCUUCAGCAUGUGGUGACCUCAGCCCCACCCAAUGCCAGGGUGACACGGCCACAUGAAGGGCCUUGGCUGAGUGAUGUCUAUGCUUGCCAAAGCAAUGGUGGCUGAGCUGCAGGCAUUCGGAGAGACAAACGUUACUUCAGAUAACUUCAGUGACAGAACAGGGCAGAAGAGUGAUGGGUUCAGGAAAGGCUGCCCUGUGUGACACAGCUGAUGGCUGCACUCCUGCAGGGAUGGGACCCUGAUGCCAAAAUACCGUGACUAUACACGAGUGGGACACUGCCAGCAGCCAGCAUGAGGCACAGCUCAGCCAGACAC
This is a long non-coding RNA of Gallus gallus (chicken), 650 nucleotides long. NCBI's taxonomy places the organism in Eukaryota, Metazoa, Chordata, Aves, Galliformes, Phasianidae. The record is from Ensembl.